Molecule: long non-coding RNA, 717 nt
Filed under: Prunus persica (peach)
Lineage: Eukaryota; Viridiplantae; Streptophyta; Magnoliopsida; Rosales; Rosaceae
Description: long non-coding RNA (PPER_LNC003196)
Source: RNAcentral
UGUAAACAGUAGUCCCCCAAGUUCGCGGUCGAGAAGUAACUUCUGGGUUGGGAACUUGUGAGUUUUUGUAAUUGUAACCGAGCAUUCCAGCUUCAUUGGGAGUCGCAGGGCACUCCCUAGUCCCCCAAGUUGGCAAGCUAGGAGUUGCGUCAACACAUGGUAGCUGGGUACCUGGGUACUUGGGCAUGUUGCAGAUAGGAUGGGAGCUGGGUCCCUAGGGGAGCCAGACCUUCGAGGGAGCCGGGUACUUAGAAAAUUUUGGAGACUCCAAUUCUUUCAUGGCUCCUGCCGUGCGGUAAGGGUCUAGCUCCCUUUUUUUUUUUUUUUGUUUUUUGUUUUUUUUUUUUUUGGGAAUGGCCGGGCUAUUUGGAAGUUUUGGCCCUCUCCGCAAAAAAAAAUACCAUGGCCCUUGCCGUUCGGCAAGGGUCUAGGCACACUUGUUUUUUUGUUACUCCCCGGGAGCUAGGCCAUUUUGGUUUGGGCCUUCGGCAUGGGGCUGGAGGUGGGCUCAAAGUGGGCUAGGGUUUUGAGAGGGGCUAGGGUUUUAAGAGGGGUAUAAAAACGAAAGGGGGUGGCCUCUGCCGUUCGGCAGCUUUGGUUGAUUGUGAAAUUAAUAGGGGAAACAAAACUUGGGAGCCGAACUUGCCGUUCGGCAGUGAGCUUGGUUGGCGCUUCGGCAGCAAGAUGGCAGCGCUUCGGCAGCAAGGCUGGGCAGGC